This 373-nucleotide ribosomal RNA is filed under the name uncultured organism. Its description in RNAcentral is "partial 16S ribosomal RNA". It matches the Rfam family "Bacterial small subunit ribosomal RNA", at positions 527 to 896 of the family's 1533-position model. The record is from RNAcentral.
GUAGGUGGCAAGCGUUGUCCGGAAUUAUUGGGCGUAAAGCGCGCGCAGGCGGUUCGUUUAAGUCUGAUGUGAAAGCCCACGGGCUCAACCGUGGAGGGUCAUUGGAAACUGGAGAACUUGAGUACAGAAGAGGAAAGCGGAAUUCCACGUGUAGCGGUGAAAUGCGUAGAGAUGUGGAGGAACACCAGUGGCGAAGGCGGCUUUCUGGUCUGUAACUGACGCUGAGGCGCGAAAGCGUGGGGAGCAAACAGGAUUGGAUACCCUGGUAGUCCACGCCGUAAACGAUGAGUGCUAAGUGUUAGGGGGUUUCCGCCCCUUAGUGCUGCAGCUAACGCAUUAAGCACUCCGCCUGGGGAGUACGGCCGCAAGGCUG